This 108-nucleotide small RNA is filed under the name Siansivirga zeaxanthinifaciens CC-SAMT-1. RNAcentral describes it as "Flavo-1 RNA". It matches the Rfam family "Flavo-1 RNA". Lineage: Bacteria; Pseudomonadati; Bacteroidota; Flavobacteriia; Flavobacteriales; Flavobacteriaceae. The record is from Rfam by way of RNAcentral.
UUUUAGGUUGCGUUAGGGGUUGUAGCGGCAUCCUUUUGCUAUAAACGACUUAUGGUAUUUUGCAGGAUGCUACCCUAGCAAAAGAUAUAGCGAAAAACCCGACCCGCA